This 253-nucleotide ribosomal RNA is filed under the name uncultured bacterium. Its description in RNAcentral is "partial 16S ribosomal RNA". It matches the Rfam family "Bacterial small subunit ribosomal RNA", at positions 102 to 353 of the family's 1533-position model. The record is from RNAcentral.
ACGGGUGAGUAACGCGUGGGUAACCUGCCUUGUACUGGGGGACAACAGUUAGAAAUGACUGCUAAUACCGCAUAAGCGCACAGUAUCGCAUGAUACAGUGUGAAAAACUCCGGUGGUACAAGAUGGACCCGCGUCUGAUUAGCUAGUUGGUAAGGUAACGGCUUACCAAGGCGACGAUCAGUAGCCGACCUGAGAGGGUGAUCGGCCACAUUGGGACUGAGACACGGCCCAGACUCCUACGGGAGGCAGCAUG